GUCUAUGGCCAUACCAACCUGAAUGUAUCUAAUCUUAUCUGAUCUCAGAAGCUAAGCAGGGUAGGGGCUGGUUAGUAAUUGGAUGGGGGACAUCCGGGGAAUACCAUGUGCUUUUAAAG
RNAcentral lists this ribosomal RNA (119 nucleotides) under Nannospalax galili (Upper Galilee mountains blind mole rat). Lineage: Eukaryota; Metazoa; Chordata; Mammalia; Rodentia; Spalacidae. The record is from RNAcentral.